CUAGUGUGAGUGGGUAGAGUCUAGUGUGAGUGUGUAGAUUCUAGUGUGAGUGGGUAGAGUCUAGUGUGAGUGGGUAGAUUCUAGUGUGAGUGGGUAGAGUCUAGUGUGAGUGGGUAGAGUCUAGUGUGAGUGGGUAGAGUCUAGUGUGUGUGUGUGGUCCAGUGUGUGUUCCAGUGUGUGUGUGUGUGUGAGAGAGAGAGUGGGUAGAGUCUAGUGAGAGUGGGUAGAGUCUAGUGAGAGUGGGUAGAGUCUAGUGUGUGUUAGUGGGUAGAGUCUAGUGUGUGUUAGUGGCUAGAGUCCAGUGUGUGUGAGUGGCUAGAGUCCAGUGUGUGUGAGUGGCUAGAGUCCAGUGUGUGUGAGUGGCUAGAGUCCAGUGUGUGUG
This 382-nucleotide long non-coding RNA is filed under the name Salmo salar (Atlantic salmon). RNAcentral describes it as "lncRNA (ENSSSAG00000092953.1)". The record is from RNAcentral. Lineage: Eukaryota; Metazoa; Chordata; Actinopteri; Salmoniformes; Salmonidae.